AAUAAGUGCAGUUUUGCACUAUUCAUGUUCAACGUUUGACCGUCCGUCUUAUUUGAAAAUUUUUUAUGAUUAGUAUUUUUAUUGCUAUUAGAUGAUAAAACAUGAAUAGUACUUUAUGUGUGACUAAAUGUUUUUAAUUUUUUCACAAAUUUUUCAAAUAAGACGGAUGGUCAAACAUUGAACGUGAAUAGUGCAAAACUGCACUUAUU
Non-coding RNA from Oryza glaberrima (African rice), 209 nucleotides. The record is from Rfam. NCBI's taxonomy places the organism in Eukaryota, Viridiplantae, Streptophyta, Magnoliopsida, Poales, Poaceae.